GAUGAACGCUGGCGGCGUGCCUAAUACAUGCAAGUCGAGCGAACAGACGAGGAGCUUGCUCCUCUGACGUUAGCGGCGGACGGGUGAGUAACACGUGGAUAACCUACCUAUAAGACUGGGAUAACUUCGGGAAACCGGAGCUAAUACCGGAUAAUAUAUUGAACCGCAUGGUUCAAUAGUGAAAGACGGUUUUGCUGUCACUUAUAGCUGGAUCCGCGCCGCAUUAGCUAGUUGGUAAGGUAACGGCAUACCAAGGCAACGAUGCGUAGCCGACCUGAGAGGGUGAUCAGCCACACUGGAACUGAGACACGGUCCAGACUCCUACGGGAGGCAGCAGUAGGGAAUCUUCCGCAAUGGGCGAAAGCCUGACGGAGCAACGCCGCGUGAGUGAUGAAGGUCUUCGGAUCGUAAAACUCUGUUAUUAGGGAAGAACAAAUGUGUAAGUAACUAUGCACGUCUUGACGGUACCUAAUGAGAAAGCCACGGCUAACUACGUG
This 497-nucleotide ribosomal RNA is filed under the name uncultured bacterium. RNAcentral describes it as "partial 16S ribosomal RNA". It matches the Rfam family "Bacterial small subunit ribosomal RNA", at positions 28 to 507 of the family's 1533-position model. The record is from RNAcentral.